GACGGAGGGUGCAAGCGUUGCUCGGAAUCACUGGGCGUAAAGGGUGCGUAGGCGGCCUCUCAAGUCGGGCGUGAAAGCCCUCGGCUCAGCCGGGGAAGGGCGCACGAAACGGAGGGGCUGGAGGGCCGGAGGGGAGAGUGGAAUUCCCGGUGUAGCGGUGAAAUGCGUAGAGAUCGGGAGGAAUACCGGUGGCGAAAGCGACUCUCUGGACGGCCCCUGACGCUGAGGCACGAAAGCGUGGGGAGCAAACAGG
This 253-nucleotide ribosomal RNA is filed under the name uncultured bacterium. Its description in RNAcentral is "partial 16S ribosomal RNA". It matches the Rfam family "Bacterial small subunit ribosomal RNA", at positions 524 to 776 of the family's 1533-position model. The record is from RNAcentral.